This is a long non-coding RNA of Sebastes umbrosus (honeycomb rockfish), 176 nucleotides long. RefSeq lists it as uncharacterized. The transcript has 3 exons. The record is from RefSeq and is a predicted model, not a curated record. NCBI's taxonomy places the organism in Eukaryota, Metazoa, Chordata, Actinopteri, Perciformes, Sebastidae.
CAUGGUUACAGUUACCGGCAGCAUUGCAAGACUGACUGACCUGUGCUGGCCUCAAAUAUCGGCGAGCGCGCACAUGUGAGUGUGUCGAAGUGGGUGGAGAGAAUUUGACGUGCAUAUGAGUGUGUGUGUGUGUGUAUGUGUGUGUGUGUGUGUGUGUGUGUGUGUGUCUGUGUGUG